UACGGAGGAUGCGAGCGUUAUCCGGAUUCAUUGGGUUUAAAGGGUGCGCAGGCGGCUGCCUAAGUCAGCGGUGAAAGCCAGGGGCCCAACCCCGGAAGUGCCGUUGAUACUGGGUGGCUGGAAUGCGGUCGAGGGGGGCGGAAUGUGGUGUGUAGCGGUGAAAUGCAUAGAUAUGCCACAGAACGCCGAUAGCGAAGGCAGCUCGCCAGGCCUGCAUUGACGCUCGGGCACGAAAGCGUGGGGAUCGAAC
RNAcentral lists this ribosomal RNA (250 nucleotides) under uncultured prokaryote. RNAcentral's name for it is "partial 16S ribosomal RNA". It matches the Rfam family "Bacterial small subunit ribosomal RNA", at positions 524 to 773 of the family's 1533-position model. The record is from RNAcentral.